AGUAGGUUGAGUCAAAUUUUUCACAAGCAGCAGCACCACAGCAGAGAAGGAUCCUGGGUUCCUGAGACCAUUGAGGUGCCAUGCCAUUCUGAACUGCCUGCACAGACUUUUACGUGAAAAAGAAAUAAACUUCAAUCUUGGUUAAGCCACUGUUGUGGAAUUUUCUUUGACAUUUCUCAUCUCGUCCCCACUAUUUCAAGAUCCCAGGGACAGAGACUUGUAUGGCAAACAAGAUUUGAAUUCAGAAUUCAAGAAGCACUUCCCGACUUCAGCCAAGUAAGAAGGAUCCUCUUCUUCCUGUCUGUGGAAAUUUCUUGGAUUUGGAAGGACUUUAUCAUGAAGUUCUGUGAGGCAGGAGGACUGUAACACCAUUUGGAGCAGAAGCAAGUAUGCAUUUUGAUCUCGGCGGUGCUCUACUCCUUAGAGAACUGAGGGCGGGAUCUUCCCUACCUGUUUGGCUGCAGGGAGGGGCGAUUUUCUCAUUGGACCAAUGGGGACUUAGUCUCCACCUCCACGUCUUUCAGCUCUACUGCAGAUUAGUGCGAGGACGGCAAGUGAGAAUGGGUAAGAAGGUGCCAAAGUACUGUCAACCCAAUCAUUAUUCAGUAAGUCAGGCACAAUAUUAGACGCUAGGGAUUCAUUCAUUCAGUCAGUCUUCAAAUAUUAAGUGAAGGGCUGUUAUGCAUCAGGCAAAUUAAAUCUGACUUGCCCAAAGGGGUUAAUAGCUGAGGGAGCAGGGUCUGUCCAGAGCGUUUCAUACCAGACUCUGCAUACCUACUGCCCUAUCCCCAAAGAGGGCCUUCCCUGCCUUCUCGGAUUUCUUGAACCUUUCUCCUCUAUGAGCUGCUUACUCUGUGCUCACCCUCCAUCGCUGCCCCAAGAGCUUUAAACUCUUGUAUCAGGCACGUCCAACAUGCAAAUCACGUUCACCCUGGGCUCAGACACACUGAUCCCCUCCCCCGCCCUUCCCCACACCUAAUUCAGGCCCCAGUAGACUGAGAGCCCUGGGGCAAAGGAGCUGGGAAAAGCCUGAUGCUUAGAGUUUGGAUCAGCACCGGGAAGCAGGGUAGGGUCAAAGGCCAACUCCCUCUCUCUCCUGCAACUUCUGAAUGCUCAGUGCUGCCCUGUCCUUGGUGCUGGGGACACUCAUGAAUCAGCUCAAGUCCCUGCUGUUCCAGCUCCCAUUUCAGCAGGGGAGUUAAGAUAGGGUGCAGAAUGCAGCUCCAGAAGUUCAGCAGGGCAUGUAUGGUUCUGCAGCCUGGUCCCACUCCUUAAAGUAGGGAGUAGCCUUUUAAACUGAGCCCCAGCCUUGGCAGGGUUCCUUUACUCCAGAAUACUGUGCAUGCUAAUCACCCUGGAAUUUUGUUAAAUUGUGGAAACCGAUGAUUCAGUGGGUCUGAGUUAAGAUUCUGCAUUUCUACCAAGCUCUUAGGUACCUGGACCACAGUUUGAGUGGAAGGCUGUAUGGUACUUGUCUCAUUUCUCCGAGAACUGAUUGAUAAUGUCUCUUCCUCACUAAUUCAUAAGCUCAAAGCAUGGAUCUUGCCCAUUAGUUUAGUGAUUAUAUUCCCAGUGCUUGGCACAUUCUGUGAGUGCUUUUUGGAGGAGUAGUCGUUGCUCCCUUAUUUAUGGGAGCUAGGACUAAUCCCACACAGCAGACAAACCCACUGGUCAAAUAUACUCACCUGCAUGCCCCAUCUCUACCAG
This is a long non-coding RNA of Bos taurus (domestic cattle), 1707 nucleotides long. NCBI's taxonomy places the organism in Eukaryota, Metazoa, Chordata, Mammalia, Artiodactyla, Bovidae. The record is from Ensembl.